Non-coding RNA from Salmo salar (Atlantic salmon), 58 nucleotides. The record is from Rfam. NCBI's taxonomy places the organism in Eukaryota, Metazoa, Chordata, Actinopteri, Salmoniformes, Salmonidae.
UAGCUCAGUUGGUAGAGCAUGGUGUUUGCAACGCCAGGGUUGUGGGUUCGAUUCCCAC